CAAAUGAGGAUUUGCGGUUGCAGUAGGGGGAGGUGGGGGUGGGGAUUUGGGUGGAGGCACUGAAGGUGGUAGUGGUGGAGUGGGGAGGGCCAUCCGAAAUGGAGCUGGAAUGUUCAUUUUGUUCAUCAAAUGCAACACCUGUGUAUAAAAGCGAGGAACAGCAAUAAGAGCAUUUACAAUGUUGGUCAGAAUGUUUCCAUCUGGAGGAGGAUAAGCAUACUCCAGGUGGGGAGGAAAUGGAUAAUCUACACCAAGCCUUGAAGCAAUAGGCUCACUAGCAGGUAUGGACUUAGAACCAUUGCCAAGAUCACCUGUCAUAGAGGCCUUCUUUUCCACAGAAGUUGGUGCUGUAUAAUCCUUCCCCAAUUGAGCUUCACUUUGUUUAUGC
RNAcentral lists this unclassified non-coding RNA (388 nucleotides) under Hevea brasiliensis (rubber tree). The record is from RNAcentral. Lineage: Eukaryota; Viridiplantae; Streptophyta; Magnoliopsida; Malpighiales; Euphorbiaceae.